This 254-nucleotide ribosomal RNA is filed under the name uncultured bacterium. RNAcentral's name for it is "partial 16S ribosomal RNA". It matches the Rfam family "Bacterial small subunit ribosomal RNA", at positions 524 to 777 of the family's 1533-position model. The record is from RNAcentral.
UACGUAGGUGACAAGCGUUGUCCGGAUUUACUGGGCGUAAAGAGCGCGCAGGCGGUCGUUCAAGUCGAGUGUGAAAGCCUCCGGCUCAACUGGGGAGGGUCAUUCGAUACUGAUCGACUCGAAGGCAGGAGAGGGAAGUGGAAUUCCCGGUGUAGUGGUGAAAUGCGUAGAUAUCGGGAGGAACACCAGUGGCGAAGGCGACUUCCUGGCCUGUUCUUGACGCUGAGGCGCGAAAGCUAGGGGAGCAAACGGGG